This 552-nucleotide long non-coding RNA is filed under the name Pan troglodytes (chimpanzee). RNAcentral describes it as "long non-coding RNA NONPTRT015450". The record is from RNAcentral. Lineage: Eukaryota; Metazoa; Chordata; Mammalia; Primates; Hominidae.
ACACUGGGACACUAUGAUGAGGCUAGGUGAGUGCACACUGGGACACUAUGAUGCGACCAGGUGAAUGCACACUGGGACAAUAUGAUGAGGCCAGGUGAGUGCACACUGGUGCACUAUGAUGAGGCUAGGUGAGUGCACACUCUGGCAGUAUGAUGAGGCUAGGUGAGUGCACACUGGGGCACUAUGAUGAGGCUAGCUGAGCUGACACUGGGACACUAUGAUGAGGCUAGGUUAGCGCAUAGUGGGACACUAGGAUGAGUCCGCGUGAGUGCACACUGGGACACUAUGAUGGGGCCAGGUGAGCGCACACUGGGACACUAUGAAGAGACUAGGUGAGUGCACACUGGGGCACUGUGAUGAGGCUAGCUGAGCGCACACUGGGGCACUAUGAUGAGGCUAGGUUAGUGCACACUGGGACACUAUGAUGAGGCUAGGUGAGCGCACACUGCGACACUAUGAUGAGGCCGGGUGAGCACACACUGGGACACUAUGAUGAGGCUAAGUGAGUUCACACUGGGACACUAUGAUGAGGCCAGGUGAGUGCACACUGGG